RNAcentral lists this ribosomal RNA (478 nucleotides) under uncultured bacterium. RNAcentral describes it as "partial 16S ribosomal RNA". It matches the Rfam family "Bacterial small subunit ribosomal RNA", at positions 28 to 523 of the family's 1533-position model. The record is from RNAcentral.
GACGAACGCUGGCGGCGUGCUUAACACAUGCAAGUCGAACGGUAAGGCCCUUCGGGGUACACGAGUGGCGAACGGGUGAGUAACACGUGGGUGAUCCGCCCUGCACUUCGGGAUAAGCCUGGGAAACUGGGUCUAAUACCGGAUAGGACUCCGGACUGCAUGGUCUGGGGUGGAAAGCUUUUGCGGUGUGGGAUGGGCCCGCGGCCUAUCAGCUUGUUGGUGGGGUGAUGGCCUACCAAGGCGACGACGGGUAGCCGGCCUGAGAGGGUGACCGGCCACACUGGGACGGAGAUACGGCCCAGACUCCUCCGGGAGGCAGCAGUGGGGAAUAUUGCACAAUGGGCGCAAGCCUGAUGCAGCGACGCCGCGUGAGGGAUGACGGCCUUCGGGUUGUAAACCUCUUUCAGCAUCGACGAAGCGAAAGUGACGGUAGGUGCAGAAGAAGGACCGGCCAACUACGCGCCAGCCGCCGCCGUAA